AGUGAACGCUGGCGGUAGGCCUAACACAUGCAAGUCGAGCGACCGCACAGUAAGCUCUCUCCCUUACGGGUGGCGACUGACGGAUGAGUAACACAUACAUCACAAUCUUCUUUUUCUUGGGUAAUAACGUAGAGCCACUUCCGCUACUACCUCAUACGUCCUACGGCUGGAUUCAGUAGAUCUUGGUACCUUUCGCGACUCUAUUAGCCGGUCUGGCGUUGUAUUAGCUAGUUGGUAAGGUAACGGCUUACCAAGGCAACGAUACGUAGCUGACCUGAGAGGAUGAUCAGCCACACUGGAACUGAGACACGGUCCAGACUCCUACGGGAGGCAGCAGUGGGGAAUAUUGGACAAUGGGCGAAAGCCUGACCGAGCAAUACCGCGUGAGUGAAGAAGGUCUUCGGGUUGUAAAGCUCUGUUGUUGGGAAAGAAAAGAAGCAGAUGAAUACCCCGAUGUCCUGACGGUACCUAAAGAAUAAGCACCGGCUAACUUCGUG
This 497-nucleotide ribosomal RNA is filed under the name uncultured bacterium. RNAcentral's name for it is "partial 16S ribosomal RNA". It matches the Rfam family "Bacterial small subunit ribosomal RNA", at positions 29 to 507 of the family's 1533-position model. The record is from RNAcentral.